This 364-nucleotide RNase P RNA is filed under the name Colidextribacter sp. OB.20. RNAcentral describes it as "Bacterial RNase P class A". It matches the Rfam family "Bacterial RNase P class A". From Rfam's summary of the family: Ribonuclease P (RNase P) is a ubiquitous endoribonuclease, found in archaea, bacteria and eukarya as well as chloroplasts and mitochondria. The record is from Rfam by way of RNAcentral. Lineage: Bacteria; Bacillati; Bacillota; Clostridia; Eubacteriales.
GCAGUAAGCUGGACAGCCGCGCGGGCGGGGCGAAAGGCCCGCCUGUGAGGAAAGUCCGGGCUCCGCAGGGCAAGGAUAACGGGUAACACCCGCCGGGGGCGACCCUAGGACAAGUGCAACAGAGAUAUACCGCCCCCGCUUCCCUCUCGGAAGCGGGAGCAAGGGUGGAAAGGCGAGGUAAGAGCUCACCCGAUGGCGUGUAAAAGCGCCCAUCGCUGUAAACUCUAUCCGGAGCAACGCCGUGGGAACACACACAGACCGGCCCGGUCGUGUUCAGGAGGCGGCUUGAGCGUAUUGGCAACAAUGCGUCGAGAUAGAUGGCUGUCUUAAAAGACAGAACCCGGCUUACAGGCUUACUGCACCA